UACGGAGGAUGCAAGCGUUAUCCGGAAUGAUUGGGCGUAAAGCGUCCGCAGGCGGCAAUGUAAGUCUGCUGUCAAAGCGUCUGGCUCAACCAGAUAAAGGCAGUGGAAACUACAUAGCUAGAGUAAGGUAGGGGUAGAGGGAAUUCCUGGUGUAGCGGUGAAAUGCGUAGAGAUCAGGAAGAACACCGGUGGCGAAAGCGCUCUGCUGGACCUAAACUGACGCUGAGGGACGAAAGCGAGGGGAGCGAAUGGG
RNAcentral lists this ribosomal RNA (253 nucleotides) under uncultured bacterium. RNAcentral's name for it is "partial 16S ribosomal RNA". It matches the Rfam family "Bacterial small subunit ribosomal RNA", at positions 524 to 776 of the family's 1533-position model. The record is from RNAcentral.